RNAcentral lists this ribosomal RNA (627 nucleotides) under Triticum aestivum (bread wheat). RNAcentral's name for it is "partial small subunit ribosomal RNA". Lineage: Eukaryota; Viridiplantae; Streptophyta; Magnoliopsida; Poales; Poaceae. The record is from RNAcentral.
AUGACGGUGCUAGCAUGGAACUAUUGAGGGCAACCUCGCCCAGUUCAAGAACUGGUGUGCCUCGUGCACACAUACAAUCCCAAGCUUGUCUUCCUCUCUGAAACGCGGCAGAAUAAUAAGUAUGUUAAGAACCUUAAGUGGAUGCUAGGCCUUCGCCAUUGUAUCACGCAACCCGACAUUAGAAAAGGUGCCGACAUUGCCCUAUUUUAUGAUGAGAAUGUUGAAAUAAAAAAGAUUGCCACAGGGGCGAGAUACAUCGAUGUGUUGAUCAGGUUAAAUCCCAAUGGCCUUCAGUGGCCUGGAACUUUUGUCUACGGUGAACCAAAGGCUCAUGAACAACACCAUAUGUGGACAUUGUUGAGGAGAAUCAAGGAUACUAGUGACCUCCCAUGGCUUAUGGUGGGAGAUUUUAAUGAAACUAUGUGGCAAGCGGAGCACUUAUCUGCCACUAGAAGGUCAGAGAGUAAUAUGGAGAAUUUUCGAAAGCUUCUCUCAGACUGUAACUUAUUUGACUUGGGCUUCAGAGGGCCGAAAUGGACCUAUAACAACAAGCAGGGAAAAAAAGCAAUGUCUGAGCCCGGUUGGACAGGUUUGUGGCAUCGCCAGAAUGGUCGGAUUAUUUCAUAA